This 555-nucleotide long non-coding RNA is filed under the name Hordeum vulgare. Its description in RNAcentral is "long non-coding RNA (HVUL_LNC009692)". Lineage: Eukaryota; Viridiplantae; Streptophyta; Magnoliopsida; Poales; Poaceae. The record is from RNAcentral.
GGUAGAAUAUAUUGUUUACAAUGUUUAGUGGUUCUUACAUACUUACGUGUUUAGCUUUCAAAGAGCCAUAUUAUUUUGUCUUCUCCUUUGUGUUUUCCUGCAGAUUCAGCUUAGUUCAAUGCGCUUAUUAUCGUUUUCAUCGUUCGAUCGUGCAAAUGAAGGCAACAAUGAUGAUAUAUGAUGAAGUGACUGAGACUAAAAAGCUGGUAUGAACUCUGUCUAUUUUGUUUUUGUAAAUAUGACUAGCUUGUCGACCCAGAUUUAGCUUUGUUGUGAGAGAACCAUGUUUGCAAUGACUACUUAGAGAUCAUACUUUCUGAUGCCAUGCUUAUUUAGAUGAGAGCUUAUAAUGGUUUGUCUUGGAUGCCAACAUAGAUUUUGAGAUGACUAUGAUGUAGUAUGAUAGGAUGGUAUUCUCCUUUGAAUGUUUCAAGUGGCUUGACUUGGCGCAUGUUCUUGCAUGUAGUUGAAACAAAAUCAACGUAGCCUCUAUGAUGUUCGUAUCCAUGGUGAUUUAUAUCCUGUUCAAGCUUGCAUUCAAUGUUAGUCAAACUC